Molecule: long non-coding RNA, 242 nt
Organism: Zingiber officinale
Lineage: Eukaryota; Viridiplantae; Streptophyta; Magnoliopsida; Zingiberales; Zingiberaceae
Exons: 2
Source: RefSeq, a predicted model, not a curated record
CAGAGUUGAUGAUCUUCCUCUAGGUGAAAUAAAUGAAGUCUAUCUUUUGGAUUUCAUUGGAUCCUCUGGUUUUAUCGGGGAAUUAUAUCCAAAAGUCGAGAGUGUGAUAAUAUUAGACCAUCAUAAGACUGCAGUUGAAGCUCUCUGUGGCAAUGCUUCAUUUGGCAAGAAUGUGAUAAAGGUUAUUGAUAUGGAUAAGAGUGGUGCUACAAUUGCAUUUGACUUCUUUAAAGAAAAGCAUU